AGCGAACGCUGGCGGCAGGCUUAACACAUGCAAGUCGAGCGGGCACUUCGGUGUCAGCGGCAGACGGGUGAGUAACACGUGGGAACGUACCCUUCGGUUCGGAAUAACGCUGGGAAACUAGCGCUAAUACCGGAUACGCCCUUUUGGGGAAAGGUUUACUGCCGAAGGAUCGGCCCGCGUCUGAUUAGCUAGUUGGUGGGGUAAUGGCCUACCAAGGCGACGAUCAGUAGCUAGUCUGAGAGGAUGAUCAGCCACACUGGGACUGAGACACGGCCCAGACUCCUACGGGAGGCAGCAGUGGGGAAUAUUGGACAAUGGGCGCAAGCCUGAUCCAGCCAUGCCGCGUGAGUGAUGAAGGCCUUAGGGUUGUAAAGCUCUUUUGUCCGGGACGAUAAUGACGGUACCGGAAGAAUAAGCCCCGGCUAACUUCGUG
RNAcentral lists this ribosomal RNA (433 nucleotides) under uncultured bacterium. Its description in RNAcentral is "partial 16S ribosomal RNA". It matches the Rfam family "Bacterial small subunit ribosomal RNA", at positions 29 to 507 of the family's 1533-position model. The record is from RNAcentral.